UCCCUGGUAGCUCAGAUGGUAAAGCAUCUGCCUACAAUGCAGGAGACCCAGGUUUGAUCCCUGGGUCGGGAA
This 72-nucleotide transfer RNA is filed under the name Ovis aries (sheep). It matches the Rfam family "tRNA". Rfam says of the family: Transfer RNA (tRNA) molecules are approximately 80 nucleotides in length. Their secondary structure includes four short double-helical elements and three loops (D, anti-codon, and T loops). Lineage: Eukaryota; Metazoa; Chordata; Mammalia; Artiodactyla; Bovidae. The record is from Rfam by way of RNAcentral.